Molecule: ribosomal RNA, 253 nt
Filed under: uncultured bacterium
Lineage: Bacteria
Description: partial 16S ribosomal RNA
Rfam family: Bacterial small subunit ribosomal RNA
Source: RNAcentral
UACGAAGGGGGCUAGCGUUGCUCGGAAUCACUGGGCGUAAAGCGUGCGCAGGCGGUUUUGUAAGUCAGAUGUGAAAUCCCCGGGCUUAACCUGGGAACUGCGUUUGAAACUACAAGGCUAGAGUGUGGCAGAGGGGGGUGGAAUUCCACGUGUAGCAGUGAAAUGCGUAGAGAUGUGGAGGAACACCGAUGGCGAAGGCAGCCCCCUGGGUUAACACUGACGCUCAGGCACGAAAGCGUGGGGAGCAAACAGG